GGAAAUAGCGACCGCACACCUGCACCCUUGGCGCCAAGGCGCCUUCGGGGCUAACGAUCGGCAUUGGGUGAGUCCGCUCGGGUAACCUACCCCUAUAUGGGGGAUAGGCCCGGGAACCGGGGGUAAUACCGCAUGCGUCCCACACGACGUCGGUCGACUGGGGCAAAGGUGGGGAUCCUUCGGGACCUGCCGCUUCUGGAUGGGCCCGCGUCCGAUUAUCUAGUUGGUGAGGUAACGGCUCACCAAGGCCACGAUCGGUAGCCGGCCUGAGAGGGUGAUCGGCCACAUUGGGACUGAGACACGGCCCAGACUCCUACGGGAGGCAGCAGUGGGGAAUUUUGGGCAAUGGGCGCAAGCCUGACCCAGCGACGCCGCGUGGGGGAUGAAGGCCCUCGGGUUGUAAACCCCUGUCAGGUGGGAAGAAAGCUCGACAGGUUAAGAGCUAGUCGAGUCUGACGGUACCACCAGAGGAAGCCCCGGCUAACUCCGUGCCAGCAGCCGCGGUAAUACGGAGGGGGCAAGCGUUAUUCGGAUUUACUGGGCGUAAAGCGCACGUAGGCGGCGAGGUAAGUCAUGGGUGAAAGCCCUCGGCUCAACCGAGGAACAGCCUUUGAAACUGCUUCGCUUGAGUCCGGGAGGGGGGAGCGGAAUUCCCAGUGUAGCGGUGACAUGCGUAGAUACUGGGAGGAACACCGGUGGCGAAGGCGGCUCCCUGGACCGGUACUGACGCUGAGGUGCGAAAGCGUGGGUAGCACACACGAUUAUAUACCCUGGUAGUCCACGUCGUAAACGAUGGGCACUAGGUGCAGCGGGUGUCGAC
RNAcentral lists this ribosomal RNA (820 nucleotides) under uncultured bacterium. RNAcentral describes it as "bacterial SSU rRNA". It matches the Rfam family "Bacterial small subunit ribosomal RNA", at positions 41 to 836 of the family's 1533-position model. The record is from RNAcentral.